CAUCGUGUGGUGUAAAUAGUUAUCAAAGCUACCAGGAUUAUAAUUUAACACGCCAUACGCAUGUUUAGUCUACAUAAUACUCAUCAGUGACGCUUAGAAAAAAGUUAUGAAAAUAUCAAUUCGAAAAUAAUUUCAUAUAAAAACAAAAAGAAAAAAAACUUUUCCGCCAAAUUUCAAAUCUUUCUAAAUUUAUAUUUGAAAUACAUGCAAGCC
Molecule: long non-coding RNA, 213 nt
Filed under: Mytilus galloprovincialis (Mediterranean mussel)
Lineage: Eukaryota; Metazoa; Mollusca; Bivalvia; Mytilida; Mytilidae
Source: RNAcentral